This 215-nucleotide unclassified non-coding RNA is filed under the name plant metagenome. RNAcentral describes it as "partial contains small subunit ribosomal RNA, internal transcribed spacer 1, and 5.8S ribosomal RNA". The record is from RNAcentral.
UCUCCGUUGGUGAACCAGCGGAGGGAUCAUUACCGAGUUUACAACUCCCAAACCCCUGUGAACAUACCUGUUUUGUUGCUUCGGCGGUGCCCUCGCUCUCGCGGCGAGGCCCGCCAGAGGACCCAAACAAACUCUUUGACUUUGAUCUAGGAUUAUACUUCUGAGUGAUACAAAAAAUAAAAUCGAAACUUUCAACAACGGAUCUCUUGGUUCUG